GCUAAAAGUGAGAAAAACACUCCGUGAUCGUGGACGAUGGCUGAAUCCACCACUUGCUCGUAAAAAUAGACACUGUCAUCUUGGGAACUACAUAAAGCCUCUGCCAAGUGUUGCUGUGGAUUCGUUUCUGAGAGGAAGAGCAUGAUGGGGGCAAAAGGUGCAUAGUCACCACACAGACCCUGGGAGUCGGAUGAAAGCAGGCCUGAGCAUUCUUCUCUGAAGGGUACAGACCUUGCCAGAGAAUUGAACCUGUGGCCUCUGUUGCCUGGGCUAGAGCUGCCCAUGAGGAAUGAAGAGCCUGAAUGACACCGAGGCUUUAUUGGACUCCAGUCUCCUCCUGAAGGGCCUUGGGCCUAUAUGCCGCCUCUUCUGAACAAGUGGGCAAAGAACGGGUGAUCCUUAAAAAGUUCAUAGAGAAGCAAGCCCUUGGCUUAUCAUUGAAGACGUGGUUUGAGAAGCUCACACCCCGUAUCAGACGGCUUGGGGCUGAAUCCUGACUCCACUUCCUGAUCCCAGCUGCCUGCUAACCCGCACCCUGGGAAGCAGCAGGUACUGGUUCCCACCCACUUGGGAGGUGUGGACUGAGUUCCCGCUCCCAGCUUCAACCUGGCCCAGCCCUGGCCACUGCAGGCAUUUGGAGAAUAAAUCAGUCGGUAGGAACACUGGCACACACCAUCUCUUUCUACUUCUUAAAUAAUUUUCUUAAAUUUCACAUAUAACAUGUAUCAUGAAAAACUGCAUGAUAUCAUAGUUACAUCCAAAUAAACAUUUAA
Molecule: long non-coding RNA, 773 nt
Organism: Lepus europaeus (European hare)
Lineage: Eukaryota; Metazoa; Chordata; Mammalia; Lagomorpha; Leporidae
Exons: 3
Source: RefSeq, a predicted model, not a curated record